This 484-nucleotide ribosomal RNA is filed under the name uncultured bacterium. RNAcentral's name for it is "partial 16S ribosomal RNA". It matches the Rfam family "Bacterial small subunit ribosomal RNA", at positions 28 to 507 of the family's 1533-position model. The record is from RNAcentral.
AUUGAACGCUGGCGGCAUGCUUUACACAUGCAAGUCGAACGGCAGCGCGGGCUUCGGCCUGGCGGCGAGUGGCGAACGGGUGAGUAAUGCAUCGGAACGUGCCCAGUAGUGGGGGAUAGCCCGGCGAAAGCCGGAUUAAUACCGCAUACGACCUGAGGGUGAAAGCGGGGGGCCGAAAGGCCUCGCGCUAUUGGAGCGGCCGAUGUCGGAUUAGCUAGUUGGUGGGGUAAAGGCUUACCAAGGCGACGAUCCGUAGCUGGUCUGAGAGGACGACCAGCCACACUGGGACUGAGACACGGCCCAGACUCCUACGGGAGGCAGCAGUGGGGAAUUUUGGACAAUGGGGGCAACCCUGAUCCAGCCAUGCCGCGUGCGGGAAGAAGGCCUUCGGGUUGUAAACCGCUUUUGUUCGGGAAGAAAUCCUCUGGGCUAAUACCCCGGGGGGAUGACGGUACCGGAAGAAUAAGCACCGGCUAACUGCGUG